Molecule: long non-coding RNA, 1217 nt
Filed under: Homo sapiens (human)
Lineage: Eukaryota; Metazoa; Chordata; Mammalia; Primates; Hominidae
Description: HSALNT0260174
Source: RNAcentral
ACACACAGUACAGGAUGAGGCCCAGGAACACGAACACAUAGUUGCUCUGGUAGUACUCCACGUUGCGUACGAGGCGCUGGCACAGCUCUCCCAGGUUGCGGGGCCGUGAGAAGCGCUGCUGGUCCACGAAGGUGCUCCAGGGCCGGAUGGUCGCGCGGCGCCGCUCCAGCCACUCCCGGCCUGCACCGGAGGGAAUCAGCUUCGGCAGCAGGGUCCUGCGGGGGGUGGGGCCGGGUCAGUGGUGGACCGGGAUGGAGCCCCAGACCCCCGCAAAAGAAGGGGACUAAGGGUGCCUGGACUCCCUCCCGGGACCCCAGAUUCCUGUACAGCAGGCAGGGAGGGGACUAGGGGCCCAGACUCCAGGGUCCCAUUAGAGGAGACCGGGGCCAACACUUCUGCGGCUCGGGGCUGGGACUCCAGGCUCUCGAGGGAGGAGGGAGGAGGGGGCCGGGGGCCCGGACUCCCGGGUCUCUGGUCCGAGGGCCUAGAGCCAGCUCGCUCACGUGCCGCUCAGCCCUUCCGCCUCGGCAUCUUUCUGCUGGUCCUUCUGCGCUGCCAUGUCUGCGUCGUGAGGGGUAGAGCUGCUGUAACCAGCCCGGUACCCUGAAGACCCCGCCGGCCCCGCCCGACGCCGGCCCCACCCAGCGGAGUCGACGUGGCGCAGCCCCGGAGCAGCUGGGGACUGUAGUUCUGCCGCCGAGUAUUGUGGGAGUUGUAGUCCUGACGGUGACUAAGAGGAUGGGCGCUAUGAUGGCGGUCUGACUCGCAAAACACCUUGGGAGAUAUAAUCCCAGAAAGUGACGGCGCGCGCCUCUGGGUAUUAUAGGAGUUGUAGUUUCAGGAGGGUGCAUGUGGGCUGUCAGGAGCGAGGGCGUUAUGGGAACUCUAACGGCAGAAGCGGGCGUUGUGUACUCUCCCAGGGAAGGCACAAUGGGGACCGUGCAGAGCUGUCCUUCUGACUCUAGAGGGCAUAAAAAAACACCUGGAGGGCUUGCUAAAACAGAUUCCUGGGCCCUAGCCCAGAUGUUUUCAUUCAGCAAGUCUGGGGUGGAGCCCAUAAUUUCCAUUUCUGAGUUCCCAGGUGAUGCUGAUGCCCCUGGUCCAUGGACUACAUUUUGAGUAGAAAGAUUUAGAUAAUUUGUGGGAAUUGAUUCCUUCCUCAAGAGAUUGAGGCUAGUGAGGGGGCCAUGGUUGCUGGAGGGGUAUCUGAGGUUGCC